RNAcentral lists this long non-coding RNA (248 nucleotides) under Vitis vinifera (wine grape). RNAcentral's name for it is "long non-coding RNA (VVIN_LNC001842)". The record is from RNAcentral. Lineage: Eukaryota; Viridiplantae; Streptophyta; Magnoliopsida; Vitales; Vitaceae.
UUCAAAGUCUUACCCAUGUUGCCAUUCUCAGGUAAAAAGCUACUUUCAAAGGAGUGAGUGAUCUCUAUACUUCUUUCUUUGGAAACUUUUUCUAUAAAUUGGCUAUUUGGACCUUGAAAUAGGAUUUUACUUUGAAUCUUCUAUCUUUUAUCCUUCUCUAUUCUACUUUGUCCUCCCUCACCUCAUCACCUUUGCCUUGUAUAGUUGUUCCAAAAAGGAAUCAACAUACUUAAUCACCUAGUUAUGAA